CCUACGGGCGGCAGCAGUGAGGAAUAUUGGUCAAUGGCCGAGAGGCUGAACCAGCCAAGUCGCGUGAGGGAAGACGGCCCUACGGGUUGUAAACCUCUUUUGUCGGGGAGCAAAGCGAACCACGUGUGGUUCAUUGAGAGUACCCGAAGAAAAAGCAUCGGCUACCUCCGUGCCAGCAGCCGCGGUAAUACGGAGGAUGCGAGCGUUAUCCGGAUUUAUUGGGUUUAAAGGGUGCGCAGGCGGAGGUGCAAGUCAGCGGUCAAAUUGCGGGGCUCAACCCCGGACUGCCGUUGAAACUGCAUCCCUUGAGUGCGCGAGAAGUAUGCGGAAUGCGUGGUGUAGCGGUGAAAUGCAGAGAUAGCGAGAGGAACACUCGUGGCGAAGGCGGGUUCCUGGACAUUAACUGACGCUGAGGCACGAAGGCCAGGGGAGCGAAAGGGAUUAGAUACCCUGGUAGUC
Molecule: ribosomal RNA, 459 nt
Filed under: uncultured bacterium
Lineage: Bacteria
Description: partial 16S ribosomal RNA
Rfam family: Bacterial small subunit ribosomal RNA
Source: RNAcentral